RNAcentral lists this unclassified non-coding RNA (219 nucleotides) under uncultured Inocybe. RNAcentral describes it as "sequence contains ITS1". Lineage: Eukaryota; Fungi; Basidiomycota; Agaricomycetes; Agaricales; Cortinariaceae. The record is from RNAcentral.
UUGAAUAAAAACCUGGCUUGGUUGUUGCUGGUCUUUUAGACAUGUGCACGCCUUGUCAUCUUUAUAUUUCCACCUGUGCACCUUUUGUAGACUUUUUUCGUUGUGAGGAAUUGCCCGUACGUGGCUUUCUUUGAAUGUAUUCGAAAAAAGUCUAUGUUUUCAUAUACUCUUGUAAUAGAAUGUUGGUAUUAGACUUUAAUGUCUUAUAAUCGUUAUAUA